AGAUUCAGGCCAAGGUGAUCUAGAAUUCAAAAAUGAGGUCUUGUUGGUUGCCAAGCUUCAACACAGGAAUUUGGUUAGGUUGCUGGGAUUUUGCCUAGACCGAACAGAGCGGCUUCUUGUCUAUGAGUUUGUUCCCAAUGCAAGUCUUGACCACUUCUUAUUUGAUUCAGUUAAACGUAGACAAUUGGAUUGGGAAAGGCGAUCCAAAAUCAUAGGAGGGAUUGCUAAGGGGAUUCUUUAUCUUCAUGAGGAUUCUAGGCUUCGGAUCAUUCACCGUGAUCUCAAAGCUAGUAAUGUUCUACUAGAUGCAGAAAUGAAUCCUAAAAUCUCAGAUUUUGGCAUG
This 343-nucleotide unclassified non-coding RNA is filed under the name Hevea brasiliensis (rubber tree). Lineage: Eukaryota; Viridiplantae; Streptophyta; Magnoliopsida; Malpighiales; Euphorbiaceae. The record is from RNAcentral.